RNAcentral lists this ribosomal RNA (74 nucleotides) under Pseudomonas libanensis. Its description in RNAcentral is "partial 16S ribosomal RNA". The stretch from base 1 to 64 matches the Rfam family "Bacterial small subunit ribosomal RNA", at positions 1470 to 1533 of the family's 1533-position model. Lineage: Bacteria; Pseudomonadati; Pseudomonadota; Gammaproteobacteria; Pseudomonadales; Pseudomonadaceae. The record is from RNAcentral. RNAcentral also lists the same sequence under 7 other names.
CAUGACUGGGGUGAAGUCGUAACAAGGUAGCCGUAGGGGAACCUGCGGCUGGAUCACCUCCUUAAUCGACGACA